RNAcentral lists this ribosomal RNA (492 nucleotides) under uncultured bacterium. Its description in RNAcentral is "partial 16S ribosomal RNA". It matches the Rfam family "Bacterial small subunit ribosomal RNA", at positions 29 to 507 of the family's 1533-position model. The record is from RNAcentral.
AGUGAAUGCUGGCGGUAGGCCUAACACAUGCAAGUCGAACGGCAGCACAGUAAGAGCUUGCUCUUACGGGUGGCGAGUGGCGGACGGGUGAGGAAUACAUCGGAAUCUACUUUUUCGUGGGGGAUAACGUAGGGAAACUUACGCUAAUACCGCAUACGACCUACGGGUGAAAGCAGGGGAUCUUCGGACCUUGCGCGAUUGAAUGAGCCGAUGUCGGAUUAGCUAGUUGGCGGGGUAAAGGCCCACCAAGGCGACGAUCCGUAGCUGGUCUGAGAGGAUGAUCAGCCACACUGGAACUGAGACACGGUCCAGACUCCUACGGGAGGCAGCAGUGGGGAAUAUUGGACAAUGGGCGCAAGCCUGGUCCAGCCAUACCGCGUGGGUGAAGAAGGCCUUCGGGUUGUAAAGCCCUUUUGUUGGGAAAGAAAAGCAGCAGGUUAAUACCCCGCUGUUCUGACGGUACCCAAAGAAUAAGCACCGGCUAACUUCGUG